CAGAGGGAUUGCCCUAGUGCGCUGUACGCCAGCGCCUAGGGUGGUCUUGCUGCGCCCAACCGUGUCUUUGGUGGAUUGUCUGUUUCCUCGGCGAGCUUGCUCGCCAAUGGGGACCAACCUAAACACUUUUGUAGUUGUAGUUGUACUGUCAGUAAACAAACCUUUAAAACUUUCAACAACGGAUCUCUUGGUUCUGGCAUCGAUGAAGAACGCAGCGAAAUGCGAUAAGUAGUGUGAAUUGCAGAAUUCAGUGAAUCAUCGAAUCUUUGAACGCACAUUGCGCCCUUUGGUAUUCCUUAGGGCAUGCCUGUUCGAGCGUCAUUUAAACCCUCAAGCUCUGCUUGGUGUUGGGCGCCUGUCCCGCCUCUGGCGUGGACUCGCCUCGAAGAUAUUGGCGGUUGUUGCAUUGACCGGAUGCGCAGUAAAAACGCGCUGGUACUGGCUUGAUGCCUUCCUCCAGGAAGCUAAACCUCUCAUCUUGACCUCGGAUCAGGUAGGGAUACCCGCUGAACUUAAGCAUAUCAAUAAGCGGAGG
RNAcentral lists this ribosomal RNA (535 nucleotides) under uncultured fungus. RNAcentral's name for it is "eukaryotic LSU rRNA". The stretch from base 168 to 321 matches the Rfam family "5.8S ribosomal RNA". Lineage: Eukaryota; Fungi. The record is from RNAcentral.